UUUUUUUUUCGUUUCCAAAAGUUUCAUGACCUUAUCCGAUCCAAAGCCUAGCCAAACCAUAGCCCGGCGGUGCACCCUACCGAAAUUAGAAAAGGCUUAAUGGCUCCUUGUUAUGUGCACGUUUCAAGUUUCGUUUUAACCUUUACUUUCUUGUGGACCGUACAAAAAGUGUAUAAGCUUAAACUUUUCGCCACGGACUGAAAAUGAUUUUAGCUCCUCACACUAAGGUGGAAAAACAAUUUAGGAAUGGUUCCCCCUCUGUUGGCCGACGUGGCGAUCGCGUCGGUCGCCUCGUGCGCGAACCAUGUGCCUCUGUGUAUCCCCACUAGUGCUUCUGUUCCGUGAACGUUCUUUUCCUUCUCGACGAAGCUUCCUCGGUGGCUAGUGCUCCCCUCGGCCAGACGAUGUUGUGCUAGCAUCGGUUACUUUUUCGGUGAAGCUUCCUCGGCGCCUAGCGCUCCCCUAGGGCACACAAUGUUGUGGUGGCAUCGGUUACUUUCUCGACGAAGCUUCCUCGAUGCCUAGCGCUCCCCUCGGACAGACGGUGUUGUGCUGGCAUCGGUUACUUUCUCAAUGAAGCCUCCUUGAUGCCUAACGCUCCCUUCGUCCACACGAUGUUGUGCUGGCGUCCGUUACCUUCCCUGAUGAAGCUCCGUCGAUGCCUAGCGCUCCCCUCGGACANNNNNNNNNNNNNNNNNNNNNNNNNNNNNNNNNNNNNNNNNNNNNNNNNNNNNNNNNNNNNNNNNNNNNNNNNNNNNNNNNNNNNNNNNNNNNNNNNNNNNNNNNNNNNNNNNNNNNNNNNNNNNNNNNNNNNNNNNNNNNNNNNNNNNNNNNNNNNNNNNNNNNNNNNNNNNNNNNNNNNNNNNNNNNNNNNNNNNNNNNNNNNNNNNNNNNNNNNNNNNNNNNNNNNNNNNNNNNNNNNNNNNNNNNNNNNNNNNNNNNNNNNUCCCUUCGGCCACACGAUGUUGUGCUGGCGUCCGUUACCUUCCUUGACGAAGCUUCCUCGGCGCCUAGCGCUUCCUUCGGCCAGACGAUGUUGUGCUGGCGUCAGUUACCUUCCCGACGAAGCUUCCUCGGCAUCCCCUUGACUAGACGAUGUUGUGCUGGCAUCGGUUACCUACCUGAUGAAGCUUCCUUGGCGCCUAACGCUCCCCUCGGCCAGAUGAUGUUGUGUUGGCAUUCGUUACCUUCCCGAUGAAGCUUCCUUGGCGCCUAGCGCUUCUCUUGACCACACGAUGUUGUGUUGGCGUCGGUUACUUUCCCAACGAAGCUUCCUUGGCGUCUAGUUGGUUUACUUGGUGGAAGAUUAUUAUGUUCGGAUUGUUAAUCACAUUUAUACCCACUGAUCAUGUUCAAUAAGAUGAGUUGUGAGUAGUUCUAUUUGUUCUUGAGGACAUGGGAGAAGUUUCGUUAUUAGUAAUCAUGUGAAGUUGAUCACCUUUCAAUGUUUUGAUAUCAUGUUGUGUUGUUUUUCCUCUAGUGGUGUUAUCUGAGCGUCGACUACAUGACACUUUACCAUCUUUGGGCCUAGGGUAAGGCAUCGCAGAAUUACUUUGUAGAUGAUGGGUUGCGGGAGUGAUAGAAGCAUAAACCCCAGUUUAUGAAUUGUUUCGUGAGGGCUGUUUUGGAUCCACACAUUUAAUGUUAUGUUUAGAGUUAUCUUAGUUACUUCUUUUGUUUUACGGAUGCUUGCAUGGAGAGUAUAAUCAUAAGUAGCUGUUUGUUCAAGGAAGAACAGUACAUUAGCUCUGGUCCACCCACAUAACACUUAUCAAGCAAAUGAACGUGAAGUCGAUGAAUUGUGGUCAAAGUAACUUGACGUUAUUCAAGUGUGUCCUUAAGAGCGUUUUAAUCACAAUUAAGGUUUGGGCCACUUGUUGCACCUUGCUACUUUUGUUACUUGUUACCAUUUAUCUUGCUAUCAAAACUAUCUUAUAGCAUUUGCAGAGAAUACCUUGCUGAAAAUUACCUAUCAAUUCCUUCUGCUCCUCGUUGGGUUCGGCUCUCUUACUUAUCGAAAGGACUACUGUUAAUCUCCUGUACUAGUGGGUCAUCAGUGAUCAAGUUUUCCUCAAGCUUCAACCUUAUGCCCAGUCCAGUGUUUCUCAUUGAGAAAACAAUAAGCUUAAUUUUAAGUACUAUGUGCCUUAUCAAAUCAUUUCAAAGUAGGAAUUGUUGCUUAUCGACUUGCUCUUCCUAGUGAUAGUCGCAUUCAUCCAAUCUUUCACGUUUCUCAACUCGAGAAGGUUGUUGCUCCUAUGGUUCAGGUGCAAUCUUCCUUUCCAUCUUCAAUUGCUUAUCUUAAGUUCUUGUUGCAUGUGUUGCAACAUCACAUUCGUCAAUUGGGAAAUCGCACUAUUCCUCAAGUGCUGCUGGAGUGAAGCCAAGGUGAGCCAGAAGCUACUACUUGGGAAGAUCAUGACUCGCUGAAGCAACGAUUUCCGCGUGCACCGGCUUGAGGACAAUCCAUUUCUCAAGAUGGGGGGGCGGGGGUCAGCGACCCAGAUCCUUUGCUCCCUAUGGACAAGGCGGGAACAUAAGAAUAGGAGGUGACUCAAGACAUGGAUCAGGAGACUUCAAGGCCGCCCCGAGCCAAAUGUUUACCGGCGCGGUUAAUGAAGGAAAUAUGCCCUGGAGGCAAUAAUAAAGUUGUUACUUUAUAUUUACUUAUUCAUGGUAAAGGUUUAUUAUUCAUGCUAGAAUUGUAUUGAUCGGAAACUUAAAUACAUGUGUGAGCACAUGAACAAACACAGUGUCCCUAGUAAGCCUCUACUAGACUAGCUCGUUGAUCAAAGAUGGUUAAGGUUCCUAACCAUGGACAUGUGUUGUCAUUUGAUAACGGGAUCACAUCAUUAGGAGAAUGAUAUGAUGGACAAGACCCAUCCGUUAACUUAGCAUAAUGAUCGUUCAGUUUUAUUGCUAUUGUUUUUCUUCAUGUCAAAUACAUAUUCCCUUGACUAUGAGAUUAUGCAACUCCCGGAUACCGGAGGAAUACUUUGUGUUCUAUGAAACGUCACAAUGUAACUGGGUGAUCAUAAAGAUGCUCUACAGGUAUCUCCGAAGGUGUUUGUUGAGUUGGCAUAGAUCAAGAUUAGGAUUUGUCACUCCGAGUAUCGGAGAGGUAUCUCUGGGCCCUCUCGGUAAUACACAUCAUAAGCUUGCAAGCAAAUGACUAAGGAGUUAGUCACGAGGUGAUGUAUUAUGGAAUGAGUAAAGAGACUUGCCAGUAACGAGAGUGAAGUAGGUAUGAAGAUACCGAUGAUCGAAUCUCGGGUAAGUAACAUACCGAUGGACAAAGGAAAUUACGUAUGUUGUCAUAACGGUUCGACCGAUAAAGAUCUUCGUAGAAUAUGUAGGAAACAAAAUGGGCAUCCAGGCUCUGCUAUUGGUUAUUGACCGGAGAGUUGUCUCGGUCAUGUCUACAUAGUUCUCGAACCCGUAGAGUCCGCUCGCUUAAUGUUCGUUGACGAUAUAGUGUUAUAUGUUUUGGUGACCAAAUGUUGUUCGGAGUCCCGGAUGAGAUCACGAACAUGACGAGGAGUCUCGAAAUGGUCGGAAGGUAAAGAUUGAUAUAUAGGACGAUGGUAUUUGAACACCGAAAGUGUUUCGGGUCAUACCGGGAAGGAAUCGAGUCAUCGGAAGGGGUUCCAGGCACCCCUCGGCAAGUUAUGGGCCUUAUGGGCCAAAGAAGGGGACAGACCAGCCCACAAGAGGGCUCCUCCCUUGUUUGGCCAGCCAUAGGGAAGGAAAAGGGGGAGGGCUAUCCCCUCCUGUCUUACCCUCCCAUGGGAGAAAGGAAAGAGGGGGCGCUACCCUUCCCUGCCUUUCCCCGCACUCCAAAUAAGGAAGGGGCGCGGCUUGGGAGGGACCCCAAAUAGGAUUCCUCCUAUUAGGGCGCCUCCUUUGGCUGCUCCUCCCUCCCUCCCACCUAUAUAUAUGUGGGAGGGGGGUGCCUAGCACACAACAGGCAAUUGCCUAGCCGUGUGCGGCGCACCUCUUCACCGUUUACACCCCCGGUCAUAUUUUUGUAGUGCUUAAGCGAAGCCCUGCGGAGAUCACUUCAUCAUCAUCGUCAUCACGCCGUCGUGCUGCCGGAACUCAUCUACUACCUCGUCGUCUUGCUGGAUCAAGAAGGCGGAGGACGUCAUCAAGCUGAACGUGUGCAGAACACGGAAGUGCCGUACGUUCGGUACUUGAUCGGUUGGAGCGCGAAAAAGUUCGACUACAUCAACCACGUUGUUAAACGCUUCCUCUUACGGUCUACGAAGGUAUGUAGACACACUCUCCUCCACGUUGCUAUGCAUCUUUAUGAAUAGAUCUUACGUGUGCAUAGUUUUUUGUUUUGUUUUCCAUGCAACAUUUCUUAACAAUUAACCGAUCCGAAUUGGGUCAGAUGAGCCUUGUAAUAUAAACACUGCACACCUUAUCCUGUAGGGGGUAAGAAGGAACGGAUGGACGGAUCUCCCCGAAUUCUUCCGUAGGCUUCUAGCUGUGAGGCUGGUUAGGUGAAAGAACUAAAUUCAAAUUCGCCAUGGUUUCUUUUUUCCUAGCUCGAGCGACUUAAGAGGAGAGGGAACCUCAGAGGAAGAGAUUUGUUCCUUUGAAUCAAUGGGAAAGAAAAACUCAAUGAUUCACGGGUUUCCGAAAACAGAGGAAUACAAAAAAUAUAGGAUUUGUACUGUCACGUCUUUUGAUGUGUACAUGAUUUAAGUUUGCUUAAUUUCUUAAUUAAAAAACAAUGAGUUCUUUCCAAAUUGUUUGAGUGGAUGAUAACUUUCCUAUGAAAUACAUGUCUUGAUCCUACAAGGAACGUUGCUACACAGCUGACGAGUUGUGGACGAUUUGCAGACGAUGCAGCGCAUCAGGCCGUCGAUGCAUGGAGCAGAAAUGAACAGCACCGUUGGAUCCUCCAAUCGUCCAAAGUUCGGCCGGCAACUGUCGUCCGUACAACAAUUUCGUCCUACAAAUCAAGUUUCUAAGGAAUCUAAUCCUUUAAAAAUAACAUGAAAAACUUUAAAUCAAAGAGGCCAUCAAUGUUACUUGGAACUUGGGAAUGUAAAAAAUACUCGUGAAAUUUCGGACAUAGAUGACCUAUGCUUUGGCCUUGAUACGAAAAGUUUGGUAAGGAUAUUUACUCUUGCAGAUUACCUGCAUUCGAAACGGAGUUCAUAAAGCCAGGUUUCGAAUUCUCUUCCACUAUUUCUCCAACCAUCACAACUUAAGAAUUUGAAUCCCUCAUAUCUAUGGUUUUUUUAUCGGCGGAGGUUGCUAUUCUGCUGCGUUGGUUCUGUGGGGAUUUAACAAUUAACACGACCACUCCUAAUUGUCUACUAUAAUAUGGUUUGCCCGACUCCGGUGAUGGAGGGGCGAUGAUGGCAACGCACGUUUGGGCGCGCUCCGGUGUUUUUACUUUUUGGUGUUUUUGCAGGUCUGAAGUUAAAAAUAAUAACCACGAUUUGACAAUUUGAGUACAUGUGCAUUCAGCGUCCUCCUUUCCUUCUUUCUUUUAUUGCGAAACGCUCGUCGUACUACUACUGUAUUUCUCCCGUGGAAAUCUGGCUUCAUUUUUAAUACGACGACGACGUGCGGGAUCUAGCGGCGUGAUUGGAUCAGCGAAAAUAACAUGAGCGGCAAUAAAUGCAUUAAUUAUUAAUCAACCAUGAAAGAAAGACGCGGGAUCGACGGAGUCGAAUAAAUGGGACACUCGAGGCUUCAUGUGACUCGUGGCACUCAUUGAUUGAGAGAUCCCCCCCUCCGUCUCUCUGGCUUCGUGGCCGCCACUGACAAGCGGGACCGGGGUCCGGUGACCCCACCUGUCGGGGACAACCUCGUAAGCUUAUACCCAGGCCGCCGUGUCACGGGGAGAAGCGGUGGCCGGAGUUAAAGCGGCGGUCGGGGCAUCUUCCAAAAAAAAGGAAAAAGAUGGGCUGGGCCGCACCUGCGCUGCACAUGGGGGAGGCAACGGCGCCAUGGCCAACAACAGAAAAUUCGGAGAAUGUCAGCCCGCCUGGUUCGUCGGGGGGAGAUAACGUUUGUCUAUGCGACGCGAUGGGAUUAGCCGGCUAGGUCUAGGAUAAAAGAUGGUUAGCUGUGGUGGUUUACGCUGCUGCGUGUACAGCGCGGUCCUUGAUCUGUCCUUGUCCUGUGUGUAGAGUGUAAGCUGGUGGCGGUCAAACGGAUGGGGUAAGUAGGAUUUGGAUCUCGAUCUACUGCACUGCACUGCCCACCGGUUACGGAUCUGGAGGGGUGAACGGGCGAGAGAGCGACCUGCGCGUGUUCGUGGCGACGUCAUACGGAUGCUGCCCCUCGAUCGUCAUUGGACGGGUGCUCUGGGUGCAGUUUCCGCAUCGACGGACCCCUGGGUGUGGGUGGGUACUGAGAUGACAUGGGAUCCGUCCAUCCCUCUGCUUCUCUGGGACUUUAUUAUGUCGCUUGGGCUCCCUCGUCCAGGCGUGUAGUAUAAUGCUGAUUUUGUUCGACCGUAAAAUGGUUAGUUUUGAGCAAUCUGUCGAGACUCUCGACCAUCUAAUACUAAUAGUAUAUGUUUUCAGCAUUCUGAUUAUAACAAUCUAAUUUUGUUACUCUCUUCGUGUGUCAAAACGCUCUUAUAUUACGGGACAGAGGAAGUAGUUAACGUAAAGCUAUUCGCACCGGAAAAUAUCAUGUUUCCUCUAUAACAGGACGUUUUAGAUCACUAUAAUAGUAGUGUAUGACACUAUCUUCACAGGGCAUAGUAUCAUAGUAUCAUACUUUCUUCGUCCAUGAAUAAGUGUAUGUUUGACAUUCAAAAUUUAUUCACAGAAAGUGCAAUUCUAUCUUUUCAAUGCACUUUAAAAUAGAAAAAAAUGCUUCUCUCUCAUUACAUGGUAAUCAAGACCAAUAGCAUUUAACACAUUGUCUCUUCACUUUCUAUAUCCACUUAGCCCCCUCCCAGUGCUCCACUUUGUACAUGUGCUAAGCCUGCCAUGCAGAAGAAAAAUCUGAUGUGGCAAGUUAAUUAAGAGUAGAGAGAUGAGUGUGGUGAUACCAGAAAGAACAAUGCCAAAUGCGUGAACCUAAGCACAACAUUUAAAUGAAAGAAGCCCAACAAUGCAUGAAGGAUUUUAGUUGCUAAAUCAUUAAAGGAAGGGAAUAUAGACGGACUCGCCCGGCCCCCGCGUCGCUCCGCACGGGCGACACGGGAGGUGAAACUAGCAGCCGCUCCCCUGCCGUCCUCCCCCUCGCCGCCGCCAGGGUGCGCCGCCUAUCAAAGACUGUGUGGCAGCGGCGGCGGCGGGGCUUUGUCUUUCUACAGGGUGUGGGCGCACCCGUGGCUGGUUCGUGCGGGAGCCAGCGCGGGGUUCAUCCUGCAAGCGCCGCCGGUGGUCGGGAGAUCCUCUCCUCCGGCAGGGCGGCGGAUCCGGGGCCCUCGCGCCCGAAUCUGGUGCAGUGGUGGGCGCGCGGCUGGGGAGGCCCCGCGCGGGGGGCUAGUGCACAGCGGAGGUGCGGAUCGGCUCCGGCCGUCGCGUGGUGUGCGCGGUGAGCGCGGUGAGUAUGCUCGCGUCGGAUCUGGCGCACGGCAAUGGCCUCCGGCGGCAAGGGGCGACUCGGGCGCGCGGCUGUGGUGAGGGGGUGGCGCGGCAUUGAUCCGGCGGGGCCGCUCGUCUUCUCCGGUGGGAUGGCAGCAAGAGGCAGCGGCGCGGAGGGGCGCAGUUGUGCUGUGCUGGGCGCGUGGCUGCUCAAGGGGUCCGGCGCCGUGGUGCUGGCAUCGAGUGCGCGUGAGCUUGGUGGUCGACGGCGGAGAUAGCUUGGCGCAGCAGGAAGGUGGAGCCGGUGGAUGUCGACCAUGGGGAUUGUGUGCUGCACAGUGCUUCGGAUCUGCUCGGAUUCGGAGGUGUGGUGGAGCUCCGGGCGAAAGUCCAGCACUGACUUUGGGUCGAUGCCGGCAACAGCGACGCCAUGGCUAUGGCAUCGUUCCCCUUCUUGAAGGUGUUGUUGUGGUGCAUUGCAUGACUCUCCGAGAGAAAUCCCUAGCUUCGGAUGGUCGAAGCGGGCGAUGACGACGGCUACGUCGUUUCCUUUUUUGAGGCAUCACCUUGGAGAGUCAGCAUUGUUGCAGUUCACACGUAUCUCUUCGUCGUUGGGGACAGUGGAAGUCGGGGCAGCGGCUCCGGAUGGUUUCUGAUUGUAUGUCGAGAUGGCGAUCUCGGGAACAAUGUGAGUGGCAGCUCUAUGAGGCGGGGCUCUAUCUCGACAUUGGUUGGUGGCAUCCUUGUCCCGCUUGGGCGGUAGGGGUGUCGGCUCGGUCGAUGCGCCCAGAGGGGGCGGUCUGACUUUACGUCAGGGCGGCGGCCCCGGAUGUGGUGCGACGUUCAUGGUCUGCGAGCGGUUGUCCUGAGUAGCGUGGGCCUCGGGCAGCUGGAUUGUGCGGCGUUCCUGCUCGAGGGGAGCGGUGGUAUGUCAGGGCGGCGGCCCCGGAAGGCGGUGCCGGUUGAUUGCGCUGGGCGCGGCAGAGCGAUGGAUAUCGGGGCAGCGGCUCCGAGAGAAUCACUGUGGCGACCAGACUUCUGUGGCAACCAUGAUGGUGGGAACAAAUGGAAGUCAAGUAUUUUGAAAAGGAGGGAGUAGUUUUUUCUGCUAGUGUCAAUUUUUUGCUGUGGUGAAAAGUGCACCAAUUUAUAAAGUGGUAGUUUUGUAUUAGUGGGAAUGUGAUAACAAUUGUUAUGUGCUUUUUACUCCCCACCACGGGUGCUUUAAAAAUUGUUAUGUGCUAUAAAAAUGAGUUUAAAUGAACACAACCAGGUGUAUGUCAUGCGAACAUGCCAACAAAAUUGCAAAAACUGUCUGAUGCAUGUGGAUGUUAUAUUAUGAUGCCGUUUCGAAACGACCGGCCAAACUUGUCGUACCCUAUCAGAGCUGCUAGUGCCUAAAACAUAUUGUGACUCAUUUUAGCAACGAAGUAAUGCACCUGAGGAAAAAACAUUUCGCCGUACAGCAGCCAAACCAACAACACUCCCACUCCCACAGAUAGCUCACGGAGUCACAGUACUGACUGAACUCAGUCAGCACUCAGCACGCUACAAGAAGACAUGACGACAAAGACGAAAUAUUCCAAUAGCCCGUACCCGUCUAACAACAUCAGGAUUAUACUAAGGGCAAUAAGAUAGUCCAAUAAAAGCAAGCAUGCUCAUGUUAGGAAAUCUCAACAGUAAUCACACGAAUAACCAUGCAGCGGCAACACAAAACUAAUCCUCCCCAACACCGUGUGCCCAACGUACACGCGACAGAACGGACUGUCCGCAAAGCAAAGCCAAACACACAGAAAGCUUCGAGGAACUAAAACAAUCUCAAAUCAUUGGGAGUACUAAAAAGACAGUACUGGAUAGGUGGAUAUAUUAAGGGAUGGAUAAACGAGUCAUGACAGGCCAAAGUACCCAAACGGCACUAAACAAAACCUCCCCUAAUGUCCUUCAGCUAUGGCAUGGGGCCAGAGCCUCACAAGUUCUUUUUAGACUUUCAUUCGUUCAUGUGCUCUCUAAUGAUGGAUCAGAGUCUUGUAGACCGACAACAAGCAGGACUCUCAACGGCUUCUUCUAGGCGCGUGGAGGGAGGCGGCCUCCGGUCUGGUGGAGCAUGGCAUCGAUCUCGUCGCCAUCUUCCA
RNAcentral lists this long non-coding RNA (9640 nucleotides) under Triticum aestivum (bread wheat). RNAcentral's name for it is "long non-coding RNA (TAES_LNC026254)". The record is from RNAcentral. Lineage: Eukaryota; Viridiplantae; Streptophyta; Magnoliopsida; Poales; Poaceae.